RNAcentral lists this ribosomal RNA (505 nucleotides) under uncultured bacterium. RNAcentral describes it as "partial 16S ribosomal RNA". It matches the Rfam family "Bacterial small subunit ribosomal RNA", at positions 29 to 523 of the family's 1533-position model. The record is from RNAcentral.
AGUGAACGCUGGCGGUAGGCCUAACACAUGCAAGUCGAACGGCAGCACAGGAGAGCUUGCUCUCUGGGUGGCGAGUGGCGGACGGGUGAGGAAUACAUCGGAAUCUACUUUUUCGUGGGGGAUAACGUAGGGAAACUUACGCUAAUACCGCAUACGACCUACGGGUGAAAGCAGGGGACCUUCGGGCCUUGCGCGAUUGAAUGAGCCGAUGUCGGAUUAGCUAGUUGGCGGGGUAAAGGCCCACCAAGGCGACGAUCCGUAGCUGGUCUGAGAGGAUGAUCAGCCACACUAGAACUGAGACACGGUCCAGACUCCUACGGGAGGCAGCAGUGGGGAAUAUUGGACAAUGGGCGCAAGCCUGAUCCAGCCAUACCGCGUGGGUGAAGAAGGCCUUCGGGUUGUAAGCCCUUUUGUUGGGAAAGAAAUCCAGCUGGCUAAUACCCGGUUGGGAUGACGGUACCCAAAGAAUAAGCACCGGCUAACUUCGUGCCAGCAGCCGCCGUAA